RNAcentral lists this ribosomal RNA (488 nucleotides) under uncultured bacterium. RNAcentral's name for it is "partial 16S ribosomal RNA". It matches the Rfam family "Bacterial small subunit ribosomal RNA", at positions 30 to 507 of the family's 1533-position model. The record is from RNAcentral.
AUUGAACGCUGGCGGCAGGCCUAACACAUGCAAGUCGAACGGUAGCACAGAGAGCUUGCUCUCGGGUGACGAGUGGCGGACGGGUGGGUAAUGUCUGGGAAACUGCCCGAUGGAGGGGGAUAACUACUGGAAACGGUAGCUAAUACCGCAUAAUGUCGCAAGACCAAAGAGGGGGACCUUCGGGCCUCUUGCCAUCGGAUGUGCCCAGAUGGGAUUAGCUAGUUGGUGAGGUAAUGGCUCACCAAGGCGACGAUCCCUAGCUGGUCUGAGAGGAUGACCAGCCACACUGGAACUGAGACACGGUCCAGACUCCUACGGGAGGCAGCAGUGGGGAAUAUUGCACAAAGGGCGCAAGCCUGAUGCAGCCAUGCCGCGUGUAUGAAGAAGGCCUUCGGGUUGUAAAGUACUUUCAGCGGGGAGGAAGGCGAUACGGUUAAUAACCGUAUUGAUUGACGUUACCCGCAGAAGAAGCACCGGCUAACUCCGUG